This 253-nucleotide ribosomal RNA is filed under the name uncultured bacterium. RNAcentral's name for it is "partial 16S ribosomal RNA". It matches the Rfam family "Bacterial small subunit ribosomal RNA", at positions 524 to 776 of the family's 1533-position model. The record is from RNAcentral.
UACGGGGGGAGCAAACGUUGUUCGGAAUCACUGGGCGUAAAGGGCGUGUAGGCGGCUGGAUAAGUGGGAUGUUAAAUCCCCCGGCUCAACCGGGGACCUGCAUCUCAUACUGUUCAGCUCGAGCACAUCAGAGGAGACUGGAAUUCCCGGUGUAGCGGUGAAAUGCGUAGAUAUUCGCAAGAACACCAGUGGCGAAGGCGGCUCACUGGCCCGAUACUGACGCUGAGGCACGAAAGCGUGGGGAGCAAACAGG